UAUCGGACUCCGUUCAUAGCGGUCCAGUAACUCGUUUCGAUUGGUUCAGCUGUUCUGGAACUAAUGGCGCUGUCGGAUUUUGAGUUUGACGCACGGAUUUCGAGAAAAUCCAAAAAUACAUGUUUUAUAUGUAUUUAUGUGUUAUUUCUUCUGUUGGAAAGAAAGAUUGGAUUGUGUCAUGAAUCCGUGGUCGAUCGAGGUGAAACUAAAUCGCAGCUUUGUUGUCUCCGUCGUGCUGAUUGCACUGGUGCAAUCCGUUCGCAAAUCUGACGGACAGAUCUGCGGAGAUUGUGCGUUGAUCGAGGAGAGGUUGGUAAUGGCAAAACAGUAUUUUCGCAAAAGUCGCGAUAUUUUAUGUACCGUUUCGCGUGAGAUCGCACGUGGAGGGGUAUCCGUGCAUUUUACUCGUGCUGUGAGGGA
This 420-nucleotide long non-coding RNA is filed under the name Ananas comosus (pineapple). RNAcentral describes it as "long non-coding RNA (ACOM_LNC042316)". The record is from RNAcentral. Lineage: Eukaryota; Viridiplantae; Streptophyta; Magnoliopsida; Poales; Bromeliaceae.